Molecule: ribosomal RNA, 1470 nt
Filed under: Pseudoalteromonas sp. S1SW
Lineage: Bacteria; Pseudomonadati; Pseudomonadota; Gammaproteobacteria; Alteromonadales; Pseudoalteromonadaceae
Description: bacterial SSU rRNA
Rfam family: Bacterial small subunit ribosomal RNA
Source: RNAcentral
CGAUGAGCAGUAGACAUACACAUGCAAGUCGAGCGGUAACAGAAAGUAGCUUGCAUACUUUGCUGACGAGCGGCGGACGGGUGAGUAAUGCUUGGGAACAUGCCUUGAGGUGGGGGACAACAGUUGGAAACGACUGCUAAUACCGCAUAAUGUCUACGGACCAAAGGGGGCUUCGGCUCUCGCCUUUAGAUUGGCCCAAGUGGGAUUAGCUAGUUGGUGAGGUAAUGGCUCACCAAGGCGACGAUCCCUAGGCUGGUUUGAGAAGGAUGGAUCAAGCCACACUGGGACUGAGACACGGCCCUAGACUCCUACGGGAGGCAGCAGUGCGGAAUAUUUGCACAAUCGAUCGCAAGCCUGAUGCAGCCAUGCCGAGUGUGUGAAGAAGGCCUUCGGAUAGUAAAGCACUUUCAAGUCAGGAGGAAAGGUUAACAGUUAAUACCUGCUAGCUGUGACGUUACUGACAGAAGAAGCACCGGCUAACUCCGUGCCAGCAGCCGCGGUAAUACGGAGGGUGCGAGCGUUAAUCGGAAUUACUGGGCGUAAAGCGUACCGCAGGCGGUUUGUUAAGCGAGAUGUGAAAGCCCCGGGCUCAACCUGGGAACUGCAUUUCGAACUGGCAAACUAGAGUGUGAUAGAGGGUGGUAGAAUUUCAGGUGUAGCGGUGAAAUGCGUAGAGAUCUGAAGGAAUACCGAUGGCGAAGGCAGCCACCUGGGUCAACACUGACGCUCAUGUACGAAAGCGUGGGGAGCAAACGGGAUUAGAUACCCCGGUAGUCCACGCCGUAAACGAUGUCUACUAGAAGCUCGGAGCCUCGGUUCUGUUUUUCAAAGCUAACGCAUUAAGUAGACCGCCUGGGGAGUACAGCCGCAAGGUUAAAACUCAAAUGAAUUGACGGGGGCCCGCACAAGCCGGUGGAGCAUGUGGUUUAAUUCGAUGCAACGCGAAGAACAUUACCCUACACCUGACAUACAGAGAACUUACCAGAGAUGGUUUGGUGCCUUCCGGAACUCUGAAUACAGGUGCUGCAUGGCUGUCGGCCAGCUCGUGUUGUGAGAUGUUGGGAUAAGUCCCGCCAACCGAGCGCAACCCCUAUCCUUAGUUGCCUAGCAGGUAAUGCUGAGAACCUCUAAGGAGACUGCCAGUCAUAAACCGGAGGAAGGUGGGAGACGACGGUCAAGUCCAUCAUGGCCCCUUACCUUGUGAGGGCUACGACACAGUGCUCACAAUGGCAGCAUACAGAGUGCUGCGAACCUGCGAAGGUAAGCGAAUCACUUAAAGUGCGUCGUAGUCCGGAUUGGAGUCUGCAACUCGACUCCAUGAAGUCGGAAUCGCUAGUAAUCGCGUAUCAGAAUGACGCGGUGAAUACGUUCCCGGGCCUUGUACACACCGCCCGUCACACCAUGGGAGUGGGUUGCUCCAGAAGUAGAUAGUCUAACCCUCGGGAGGACGUUACCAUAGAGGAUGAGUAA